UGCACCUUUCCUGCUCACUGUAACCGCGACACACUACAUUGACCUAGCAAUGGGGCUAGCUCACUGGUUCAAGCAGGAUGCCAAGAAACCACCCUUUGAUCAUGUGCACGGAGCAUCGCUGUUUGAGGAGAGCAUGGAGCGCAAGCAUCCUGAGUUCCACAAGAUGGCAAUGCAAGGUUUAAUUGUCCAUGACAAUUUCGGAACGAACAUUGCGCUGCGGGAGUUGAGUGACAUAUACCAGGGGAUAAAUUCAUUGACUGACUGUUGCUACCAUGGGGACGGAAUGACGGCAAAGGCCAUUGUCAAGGCCUUUCCACACAUGAAGGUCACUGUGCUAGACCUUCCACAAGAGAUUCGAAAAAUACCAACUGAUGGUGUUGUUAACUAUGUUGGAGGUGACAUGUUCAAGUCCAUCCCACGUGCUCAAGUGGUGCUGCUUAAGGUAUGAGUGCAAUAACAGUUUCAUUGCAAAAAAAUCAGUUGACACAUUAAUUUAAUUAGACAAAAAAAUUGAAAUAGACUGGUCAAUGUACUAGCAUCUUUCAUUUAUAGAAAAAUCAUCAAUAUUAUUGGUAUCUAUACUGUAUAAGAUGAACUUAGCUAAACGCUACAUUUUCGUGAUCUCACCUAACGUUAUUGAACUUUUCCAUUGCAGAUGGUGCUGCAUCACUGGAGUGAUGAGGACUGCGUGAAGAUCCUCGCCAAUUGCAAGAAGGCAAUAGCUUCACGAGAAGAGGGAGGAAAAGUUUUGAUUGGAGAUAUAGUUCUCGACCCUGCUUCAGAACCUGUAAUGUUUGAGACCCAUCUCUUGAUGGACGUCUGCAUGAUGCUUAUGAAAGGAGGCCGGCAACGCGACUUAAAUGACUGGCGUGACAUCUUCAUCAAAGCAGGGUUCAGCGACUUCAAGCUUGUCAAGAAAUUUGGAGCUCGAGGUGUCUUGGAGGCCUACCCGUAAGAUUUCUCCUGGACAUUCUUAUAUUGCGGUUGGGCACCAUAAACCUAUAGUGAAUAAAUAAAAAGAGUGCCAUAAUUUUCGAACUAUCGUUUCACGGAACAUGAUCAAGCAGCUUGUUGCUGAGGUUACAAAGCUGGUUUGCUUCAUGAUCUGUAUACUUUCAUUUCGAAAAGUAUAUCUACAAUCUACAACUUGCUCAUAUAUUGUAUGUGUAUGGUAUUGAUAUCCACCAACUGGAGUUGGAUGUGUGUAAUGCCCCUGUUUGCCCCUGUUUCUCAGAAAAGCAACCAUUGUACACUACGGGAAAUAUAAUAUGCAUAAUGGUUGCUCUCCCACCUUCAUGAGGACAGCCUAUUGGAUGACUCGCAUCGGGUGCCAUCAAAGAACCCAUUAACUACUAUAUUCAUGGACUGGAAGGAAAUGAGGCAAUCAUCUAGCUACUACGUUUUUGGGUGCCUUGAUACAAAGCGCCUUCAUGCUAUUAUAUAGGCACUUACCAUAAGUACCAGUAAACAAUUAACUCAUACAUCUCGUAGCCAAUGAACUAUGAAUCAGCAGAAAAUCAUUAUUUUGUUUGAUCAACUAAAGCGCACGACCUGUGACGUUUGGCACUUAGCCCAAGCAUUACACCGAUAUGUGAUUUAGGUAAUACUCCCACAGUACAUUAUGCAUAACCAACACCUUAAAUUUUGUACAAUCAGACUUUUCGUGAUUUGAUCACUAUUUGUAUAAACUUAUGUCACUAUCAUGAAAACACCUCAGAGAUGCACAUUUUCUUGGUACCUGCUCCCACUCUACUAUAACACCUCUCCGUCCCAUCCAAGCAGUUGGCCUCUUAUUUCUUUUUGGUGUAUGUUUCUCAGCCUCGUUCAUGGUGUCUACCUCCAUGCGAAACACGGGUUCAAAUAAGUGUGCAGGUGCAGUAUCUAUGAAAUAAAGGCAGCAAGUUCUCCCAGUUCACAAGAGAAAAUAUCGUUUAUAAUUAUGGUAAUAAAAUAAUGUAGGUCUCAGGACAAACAACCAUAUGUACUCGCACUUACAAAUGUGAUUGCUUCUUGUAAUCCCAAAUUAGUAAUCGUCAGUGCAUGACUUAAAUUAGUAAACAAUUAACUCAUACUCCCUCCAUCCCACAAAGAGUUAUUUUAAAAAAUUUCAGACAGUAUAGUAGUGGUGAGAAAUGUAUAUGUUGCCCCUAAUAACUAAUACUAGUUGUCAUUAAAAAUCAUGCGGUGUGUUUAGUUUCUCGAUCCUAAAUAAAUGCACGCAUUGAAAUCAGAGAAAUAACACCAAUUGAUUAUUUGAUUGGCUCUACACACUUCUCCAUACUUUUUUAUUAUUGGUGUGAGUGUUGUUUUAGUUAGAUGAGAUUUAUUAGGAGGUAAAGGACACUCUUCGUGGGACAAAUUGUAGAAUCUAAAAGGACACUCUUUGCGGGAUGUAGGGAGUAUAUCUCAUAGACAAUGAACUAUAUGAAUCAGCAGUAACCAUUGUUUGAUCAACUAAAGCAUGACCUAUCAUAUAAGGCUAAUUUAAAUUCUGAUCAAUCAGACAUUUCAUGAUUUGACUAUUUGUAUUUCUAAUUCUGGAGAGUGGAUAUAAGAAACUAUGUCACUAUUAUGAAAACACCCUGAGAGAUGCACAUUUUCUAGAUACCUACUCCCACUCUACUAUGACACCUCUCCAUGCCCUCCAAGCAGCUGGCCUCUAAUUUCUCCUGGAUGUAAGGUUUCUUAGCCUCAUUCGUGGUGUCUCUGUCCACGCGAAACACGCGUGUGCAGAUACAUGUACAGAUGCACUAUCGCUUUCCUGACAUAGAGUCCUGAUCCGUCCAUAGAACCAUCUGUGUCCUCGUGGUCCACGGGAGGAUAGCUAAGGCCUUAUUAAUUAACGGUAGCUUACUGAUAGUAGCUAAGAAACACACUAUAUAAUAACCUUCGUCAAGAAUGCAGAACCCAUCUAAGCAAAGCGCACAAAACAACAGAUAGGAUUGAACAACAAUGGCAACUCAGGCCACGCCCAUUGUAGUGCCCACCGAUGCUGAACUGCUGCAGGCACAGGCCGACCUAUGGCGCCACAGCCUCUACUACCUCAAAUCCAUGGCACUGAAGUGUGCCGUGGAGCUCGGCAUACCUACAGCCAUCUACCGCCUAGGCGGUAGUGCCUCGAUUCCUGACCUGAUCACCGCACUGUCACUGCCCGUAGCUAAGCAACAAUUCCUCAGUCGCCUCAUGAGGCUCCUUGCCUCAUCCGGUGUCUUCAGCGUGGUUGACUCCACUGAGGCUACCUACUCCCUCACCCCAUUGUCAUACCUCCUGGUUGACGGCAUUGAAGCCGAUGACCAUAUCAACCAUGCACCUUUCCUGCUCACUGUAACCGCGACACACUACAUUGACCUAGCAAUGGGGCUAGCUCACUGGUUCAAGCAGGAUGCCAAGAAACCACCCUUUGAUCAUGUGCACGGAGCAUCGCUGUUUGAGGAGAGCAUGGAGCGCAAGCAUCCUGAGUUCCACAAGAUGGCAAUGCAAGGUUUAAUUGUCCAUGACAAUUUCGGAACGAACAUUGCGCUGCGGGAGUUCAGUGACAUAUUCCAGGGGAUAAAUUCAUUGACUGACUGUUGCUACCAUGGGGACGGAAUGACGGCAAAGGCCAUUGCCAAGGCCUUUCCACACAUGAAGGUCACUGUGCUAGACCUUCCACAAGAGAUUCGAAAAAUACCAACUGAUGGUGUUGUUAACUAUGUUGGAGGUGACAUGUUCAAGUCCAUCCCACGUGCUCAAGUGGUGAUGCUUAAGGUAUGAGUGCAAUAACAGUUUCAUUGCAAAAAAAUCAGUUGACACAUUAAUUUAAUUAGACAAAAAAAUUGAAAUAGACUGGUCAAUGUACUAGCAUCUUUCAUUUAUAGAAAAAUCAUCAAUAUUAUUGGUAUCUAUACUGUAUAAGAUGAACUUAGCUAAACGCUACAUUUUCGUGAU
This 3927-nucleotide long non-coding RNA is filed under the name Setaria italica (foxtail millet). RNAcentral's name for it is "long non-coding RNA (SITA_LNC005842)". Lineage: Eukaryota; Viridiplantae; Streptophyta; Magnoliopsida; Poales; Poaceae. The record is from RNAcentral.